RNAcentral lists this long non-coding RNA (357 nucleotides) under Gossypium barbadense (sea-island cotton). RNAcentral describes it as "long non-coding RNA (GBAR_LNC014461)". The record is from RNAcentral. Lineage: Eukaryota; Viridiplantae; Streptophyta; Magnoliopsida; Malvales; Malvaceae.
GGCAUUUCAAGACACAUGGGCAGCUGCAUGUAAAGUGGAGGCAUCAACUGUUGUCGUUCCAGCCGAAUUUGUGUUUCUUGUAGGACCCAUUUCAUUUUCUGGUCCAUACUGUCAAGCAAACAUUGUGUUUCAGGUAAAACCAUGUGGGAUCUUAAUUACUCCUUCUAUAUUGGGUAAUGAGUCAAUAACAUACAGAUAACACUGUCAAAUAAAAUUGGAAAGAUAACUACCAAUAAUAGCAUGUUGAUGUCAAGUGAAAUGGAACACCUGAUGCACCUUGAGAUUGUUAUGGUAGUGAAGAAUAAUUGAUGCUUGAUCACGGCUGAUGUGGCUGAAAUUUUUUUUUUCUCAGCUGGA